GCCCCCGUAGCUCAGGGGAUUAGAGCGUCGGUUUCCUAAACCGUGUGCGAAGGUUCGAAUCCUUCCGGGGGCGCCU
This 76-nucleotide transfer RNA is filed under the name Actinomycetes bacterium. RNAcentral describes it as "Actinobacteria bacterium tRNA-Arg". It matches the Rfam family "tRNA". From Rfam's summary of the family: Transfer RNA (tRNA) molecules are approximately 80 nucleotides in length. Their secondary structure includes four short double-helical elements and three loops (D, anti-codon, and T loops). The record is from RNAcentral. Lineage: Bacteria; Bacillati; Actinomycetota; Actinomycetes.